AUGAAAGAUGAAAAGCCCUUGAAAGAGAGUCAACAGUACGUGAAAUUGUUGAAAGGGAAGCGCUUGCAACCAGACCUGUCCGUAGGUGAUCAGCCGCUGUUUCAGUGGUGCACUCGCUCUGCGAUCAGGCCAGCAUCGGUUUCGGCGGUCGGAUAAAGGCCUUGGGAAUGUAGCUUCCCUUCGGGGGAGUCUUAUAGCCCUCGGUGCAAUGCGGCCAGCCGGGACCGAGGACCGCGCUUCGGCUAGGAUGCUGGCGUAAUGGUUGUAAGCGACCCGUCUUGAAACACGGACCAAGGAGUCUAACAUCUAUGCGAGUGUUUGGGUGUCAAACCCAUGCGCGGAAUGAAAGUGAACGGAGGUGAGAACCCUUAAGGGCGCAUCAUCGACCGAUCCAGAUGUCUUCGGAUGGAUUUGAGUAUGAGCAUAAAUGUUGGGACCCGAAAGAUGGUGAACUAUGCCUGAAUAGGGUGAAGCCAGAGGAAACUCUGGUGGAGGCUCGCAGCGGUUCUGACGUGCAAAUCGAUCGUCAAAUUUGGGUAUAGGGGCGAAAGACUAAUCGAACCAUUACGCUACAGGUGGUUAAUAGAAGCAUUGCGUUCGCACAUGCUUUCAGUCCUUUGGGGCAACAUCACCACUUGCAUGAACACACCUUGGGUUGACAUGCUGCAGUUCUCCGCUUGCUCGGGGUUCUGUUCACAGACCAAAUAGUGAUGGCCAGGGUACCCUCUCGGGGGACGCUUGGUUUAGAAAUGGCCGAGUCCUACUCCUAAUCGAGUCGGUCCUGGGACCGCGGAAAGAUCCCUAUAGAUAAGUGGUUGGUCCCGUUCGGGSCGACUUAGUCACUUGGGAAUUUUUUUCAUGCGGUUGUGCCGCACUUCCUGCGAUCC
RNAcentral lists this ribosomal RNA (887 nucleotides) under Montanelia panniformis. Its description in RNAcentral is "eukaryotic LSU rRNA". It matches the Rfam family "Eukaryotic large subunit ribosomal RNA", at positions 357 to 1098 of the family's 3401-position model. The record is from RNAcentral. Lineage: Eukaryota; Fungi; Ascomycota; Lecanoromycetes; Lecanorales; Parmeliaceae.